CCUACGGGAGGCAGCAGUGGGGAAUUUUCCGCAAUGGGCGAAAGCCUGACGGAGCAACGCCGCGUGAGGGAUGAAGGCCUCUGGGCUGUAAACCUCUUUUAUCAAGGAAGAAGAUCUGACGGUACUUGAUGAAUAAGCCACGGCUAAUUCCGUGCCAGCAGCCGCGGUAAUACGGGAGUGGCAAGCGUUAUCCGGAAUUAUUGGGCGUAAAGCGUCCGCAGGCGGUCUUGUAAGUCUGUCGUUAAAGCGUGGAGCUUAACUCCAUUUCGGCGGUGGAAACUACAAGACUAGAGUGUGGUAGGGGCAGAGGGAAUUCCCGGUGUAGCGGUGAAAUGCGUAGAUAUCGGGAAGAACACCAGUGGCGAAGGCGCUCCGCUGGGCCAUAACUGACGCUCAUGGACGAAAGCUAGGGGAGCGAAAGGGAUUAGAUACCCCUGUAGUCCUAGCCGUAAACGAUGAACACUAGGUNUCGGGGAAUCGACCCCUCGGUGUCGUAGCUAACGCGUUAAGUGUUCCGCCUGGGGNGGUACGCGACGCGAGUAGUGAACGUACAAUAGAAGUUAGUACGGCGUGAGACGCGCCGACGGACGACGACGAGGGAGUAGG
This 606-nucleotide ribosomal RNA is filed under the name uncultured bacterium. RNAcentral's name for it is "bacterial SSU rRNA". The stretch from base 1 to 519 matches the Rfam family "Bacterial small subunit ribosomal RNA", at positions 338 to 873 of the family's 1533-position model. The record is from RNAcentral.